RNAcentral lists this small RNA (463 nucleotides) under Pan troglodytes (chimpanzee). RNAcentral's name for it is "processed transcript". Lineage: Eukaryota; Metazoa; Chordata; Mammalia; Primates; Hominidae. The record is from RNAcentral.
GGGAGCCGGAGCUCCUCAGACCCGGCGGGCCCCCAGGCGCACCCUGGAGCUGCAGACCCCCGGCCCCGUCCCACGGCUAGCUGAAUCGUGAGACCCUGGCUCAGGGACGCUCAGCUGGUCAGCAGUCCUAUUGGGACCUGUGACAACUUAGGGCUUCUGGCUACCGAAACUAUCUUCAUUUCCACUUAAAAAACAAUAGGUGAAGAACAAACCCAGAAUCCCUACACUGAACUGCUAGUACUGAAGGCUCAUCAUGAUAUUGUACGAUUUCUGGUACAGUUAGAUGACUACAGAUUUGCAUCUGCUGGUGAUGAUGGAAUUGUAGUUGUGUGGAAUGCCCAGACAGGGGAAAAACUUUUAGAACUGAAUGGACACACUCAAAAGAUAACAGCUAUUAUUACAUUUCCUUCCUUGGAAUCUUGUGAAGAAAAAAAUCAACUCAUCUUGACAGCCUCUGCUGAUA